AUUUAUGAUCUUUGAUGUCUCUCCUUUCCUAGUCUUGACUAAGGAUAUUAUCCCAAGUGUGUGCUCCUGAAUGCUAUGCAUUGGUGAAAGGAGGCAGAAAGAAGCUUGAAGACUCAACAUGCUUUAGAUGCUCUGAAAGCCUCUUUGGACCAAAAAUAAUACAGACUGCUCUUACAAAUCUAUAUUACCUCUGCUGUCACAGCUUAAGUGUAUCUUUUGGCUUCAGGAAUUGUGGGAGUAUUCAGGAGGCUCAAUUUUUAUGGUAGCAAAACACCUCUACAAACAAACAAAAAGUUCACCAAAAAUAGAAGAGGACAUCAACAAAAUGAUCAGGUGCUUCUCCAAUUUAAUUGUUUGGAAGCAGUCACUGGAAGCAACACUAUGUGACUCAGCUUUGGUGAUACAGUCCAGCUGGGGUCUGACAGCUGGUUUUCAUGGAAACCCUGUUUGUAAGAACAACACAGAAUUAACACACACAGAGACCAGUUUGAUUCAGAGUGGAAGCAAAACAUCAGCCUCACUAACUUGUUUUGCAUCAUAAGCAGCCAUGUACUCCAAUUGGUUGGUUUGCUUUGCGUAUAGGCAGCUUCAACGUGUGAUCCAAAGGUGAGCUUGGUGUGGAAACCCUUUCCCCACUUAGGCUUGGCCUCCUAAAUUCAAACACAUACAUAGGACCUUAUACUUCUUCAUAUCAUUUAUUGGCACUGUGGUGAACAGUUUUCCACUAGACAGUUAAUACCCUUUCUCCCACUAUACUGUCAACUCUAUGAGAGCCAC
Molecule: long non-coding RNA, 777 nt
Filed under: Vulpes vulpes (red fox)
Lineage: Eukaryota; Metazoa; Chordata; Mammalia; Carnivora; Canidae
Description: lncRNA (ENSVVUG00000014688.1)
Source: RNAcentral